ACAAAGGUUCUGUUUAGAACUACAGAAAGAAACAACAAAGGUAAA
This is a non-coding RNA of Nestor notabilis (Kea), 45 nucleotides long. NCBI's taxonomy places the organism in Eukaryota, Metazoa, Chordata, Aves, Psittaciformes, Psittacidae. The record is from Rfam.